GACGGAAGGUGCAAGCGUUGCUCGGAAUCACUGGGCGUAAAGGGCGCGUAGGCGGCAUGUUAAGUCAGCUGUGAAAUCUCCGAGCUUAACUCGGAACGGUCAGCUGAUACUGAUGUGCUAGAGUGCGGAAGGGGCAAUCGGAAUUCUUGGUGUAGCGGUGAAAUGCGUAGAUAUCAAGAGGAACACCUGAGGUGAAGACGGGUUGCUGGGCCGACACUGACGCUGAGUGCGCGAAAGCCAGGGGAGCAAACGGG
RNAcentral lists this ribosomal RNA (254 nucleotides) under uncultured bacterium. RNAcentral's name for it is "partial 16S ribosomal RNA". It matches the Rfam family "Bacterial small subunit ribosomal RNA", at positions 524 to 776 of the family's 1533-position model. The record is from RNAcentral.